GACCCCUUAGCUCAGUGGUAGAGCGUGUGAUUCCAGUCUGUAUGUAAUCAAGUGUUUUCAAGGUUUCCACAAGGUCAAGCGUUCAACUCGCUUAGGGGUCA
Non-coding RNA from Guyanagaster necrorhizus, 101 nucleotides. The record is from the annotation of a RefSeq genome assembly. Lineage: Eukaryota; Fungi; Basidiomycota; Agaricomycetes; Agaricales; Physalacriaceae.